Pundamilia nyererei is the source of this 2361-nucleotide RNA transcript. It is a transcript of the gene named serine and arginine rich splicing factor 2a, with no coding region annotated. The transcript has 3 exons. Lineage: Eukaryota; Metazoa; Chordata; Actinopteri; Cichliformes; Cichlidae. The record is from RefSeq and is a predicted model, not a curated record.
AGGGGAAAAGGAAGGGUCCUUGCCGCCAUUUCACGUGAAAAACAGCGCGGUGAAAGAAACGAGCAGAGCGAUACUAUCAGAAAAACAGCGAGAUUUCAAAUUCAGUUCAUCAGCUACAGCUUUAACUAGCAUUGUAGCGGAUUAAUAGCACGCUAGGGUCUAAAGGUUUUUGUCCUGAUUGGCCUGCUUAGUUGUCCGGAGAAGAAAAUGAGCUACGGAAGGCCGCCGCCAGACGUUGAGGGGAUGACCUCCUUAAAGGUGGACAACCUGACUUACCGAACUUCGCCGGAGACUCUGCGCCGAGUUUUUGAGAAAUACGGCCGUGUGGGAGAUGUGUAUAUCCCGCGGGACAGGUACACCAAGGAGAGCCGAGGCUUCGCUUUCGUGCGGUUCCUCGACAAGCGCGACGCCGAAGACGCAAUGGACGCCAUGGACGGCGCGCUGCUCGACGGGCGGGAGCUUCGGGUUCAGAUGGCUCGAUACGGAAGGCCGCCAGACUCCAUGUACAGCCGGAGAGGCCCUCCGCCACGGAGAUACGGAUACGGACGCAGAAGCAGAAGCCGUUCAGCCAGUCCUCGCCGUCGAAGACGUAGCCACAGCCGGUCCAGGAGCAGAAGCCGCUCUAGAUCUAGGAGCCGCCACCACUACAGCCGCUCCAGGUCCCGUUCCUACUCCAGGUCAAGGUCCAAGUCUAAGUCCAAAUCCAGAACCCCUCGGCGAAGCAAGUCAAAGUCGCCCUCCAGAUCUCGGUCCCGCUCCAGGUCCAAGUCAAGGAGUCGAACCCCAGCUUCCAACAGAGGGUCCAGGUCAAAGUCGAAGUCCAGGUCCAGGUCCAAAUCCAAGAGUAGACCUAAAUCCCCAGAGGACACCGGAGCAGAGUCUUAACCCAAAUGCAGAUGCAACAUGACGGUAUAAAGGGGAAAGGGUGGCUUAUAUCAUUAGUUUCAAUUAUACUAACUAGGGUGGUAAUCAGCACCAGUUGGGUUUGUGUUCUGCAGUCUUUGACAUUAUGGCCAUUUACAUACAAAGGUCUGCAGAAUCCCUGAUAUUUGUGUUAUUUAAAUAAGAGUUGGACUGUUGUAGCCAACAGUCCUAGUUCUGUGUGUGCUUUACUUUGCUUGCAUGUCCAGCCAAUCUAAAGCAUGCACAGGCAAUGGGAGAUUGGGAUAUUUGUUGAGUAUGUAUGGGAGGGAGUGGGUGGUUGGGACGUGUGGGGGGGUGCUUCACUCAAAACGUUCACCUAAAUGUGGAAUUCUUUCCUCCAAGCUGCGGAGUCCUGUUUGCAAAGGGAGGAGGAGAUGGGGGUGUUGCAGUGUGAGAGCAGUUAGUGUGUGACCCGCCCAUGUGACCUGCCUGUUGCUGAGAGCGAUGGCAGGUACUAAGGAGCAGGUCAACAAGGCAACGGUGGUUGCUAUGGAGCAGGUCGUCAUGGCGGUGGUUCGGGCUGUCAGUUGGUGUAUGAGGUGGUGUGGUGAGGUACGUUCACAGGGACCACAGGCAGAUGCACUGUGGUGUCCUCCGCCUCUCACAAAGGGAACGGACCCCGAGGUUUGUUUUUCAAAUAUGCCCGAGUGUAAGAGACUUGUUAGAGCUAGUUUUGGGGAGAGGAAGCGUGUUUUUGUUUUUUAACUAUUGUGACAAUAAAUAGAAAUGUUAGGCUUAUUAAGAGAAAUUAAUGUCCAUAGAGCCAGUUUGAUGUGUCAGGAGAAAGAUCAGUACAGAAUUACAUGUUAUAAUCCAGGUCAGCUGCAGGAGUUGAUGUAACUUCUGGGUUUGGCUCUUGCUAACUCUGUUCUGUCUUUCCUUCCAGAUCUCAAAUGAUUGAUGCUAUGCUGAGGACAUCAGGAAGAGUCUCAGAUUGAAGUGGACUCAAAUAUUGCCACUGAAUGCAGACUCAAAGGCGCAGUUGUGUAGCAGUUGAAUAAUGCUGGUUAGCUGUUAAGAUGCGGUGCAGUGCGGUGGUGACAUGGUGUGGCGUGUUGCGGUGCUGAGUGCCCGGUGUGUUCCGGGGCUCGACCCUCCGCUGCUGUUUGCCGGUUUGUAAGCUCACAGGUGUGGCAGAUCAUCCAUCCUCUCCUGUCUUGUGACUUCACCUUCCCUCCAUGUGCUGUACAGAUCCUCUUCUUUCUUUUCUUUUUAUUCUCCCUCCUCCUUUCCCCCCCCCUUGCUCCUCUCUAUGGUUUAUCAACUGUUGAUAACUGGUCUUGGUCUUUGAAAGUGGUUCCAGUGGGACUCUUAGUUGAAGGGUUUCAAGGGCAGUUCCGCCUGCUUCAUGAUGUGUAUUGCAUUCCUCUGUGAACCUCUCAAAUGUCUUGUAAGUGCUUACGGUGAAUGCUAAUAAACAUUUUUGUUUAAAAUAAA